RNAcentral lists this ribosomal RNA (459 nucleotides) under uncultured bacterium. RNAcentral's name for it is "partial 16S ribosomal RNA". It matches the Rfam family "Bacterial small subunit ribosomal RNA", at positions 339 to 795 of the family's 1533-position model. The record is from RNAcentral.
CUACGGGGGGCAGCAGUAAGGAAUAUUGCUCAAUGGAGGCAACUCUGACGCAGCCAUGCCGCGUGCAGGAAGAAGGCCUUAUGGGUCGUAAACUGCUUUUAUUUAGGAAUAAACCCCCGAACGUGUUCGGGGCUGAAGGUACAAAACGAAUAAGCACCGGCUAACUCCGUGCCAGCAGCCGCGGUAAUACGGAGGGUGCAAGCGUUAUCCGGAUUUAUUGGGUUUAAAGGGUGCGCAGGCGGGCUAUUAAGUCAGUGGUGAAAUCCCGGGGCUCAACUCCGGAACUGCCAUUGAUACUGAUAGUCUUGAGUUUGGUUGAAGUGGGCGGAAUGUAGCAUGUAGCGGUGAAAUGCAUAGAUAUGCUACAGAACACCAAUCGCGAAGGCAGCUCACUAAGCCAAAACUGACGCUCAUGCACGAAAGCGUGGGGAUCAAACAGGAUUAGAUACCCCCGUAGUC